RNAcentral lists this ribosomal RNA (490 nucleotides) under uncultured bacterium. Its description in RNAcentral is "partial 16S ribosomal RNA". It matches the Rfam family "Bacterial small subunit ribosomal RNA", at positions 30 to 507 of the family's 1533-position model. The record is from RNAcentral.
AUUGAACGCUGGCGGCAGGCCUAACACAUGCAAGUCGAACGGUAACAGGAUGAAGCUUGCUGCUUUGCUGACGAGAGGCGGACGGGUGAGUAAUGUCCGGGAAACUGCCCGAUGGAGGGGGAUAAAUACUGGAAACGGUAGCUAAUACCGCAUAACGUCGCUAGACCAAAAAGGGGGACCUCAGGGCCCCUUGCCAUCGGAUGUGCCCAGAUGGGAUUAGCUAGUAGGUGGGGUAACGGCUCACCCAGGCGACGAUCCCUAGCUGGUCUGAGAGGAUGACCAGCCACACUGGAACUGAGACACGGUCCAGACUCCUACGGGAGGCAGCAGUGGGGAAUAUUGCACAAUGGGCGCAAGCCUGAUGCAGCCAUACCGCGUGUAUGAAGAAGGCCUUCGGGUUGUAAAGUACUUUCGUCGGGGAAGAAAAGAAUAAGGUUAAUACCUUUGCUCAUUGACGUUACCCGCAGAAGAAGCACCGGCUAACUCCGUG